GUGAAGGUGGCUUAGUGGUAGAGUACUUGCCUACCAUGCAUGAAACCCAGGGUUCAAUUCCUCAGUAUCACA
Molecule: transfer RNA, 72 nt
Filed under: Dipodomys ordii (Ord's kangaroo rat)
Lineage: Eukaryota; Metazoa; Chordata; Mammalia; Rodentia; Heteromyidae
Rfam family: tRNA
About the family: Transfer RNA (tRNA) molecules are approximately 80 nucleotides in length. Their secondary structure includes four short double-helical elements and three loops (D, anti-codon, and T loops).
Source: Rfam by way of RNAcentral